AGCUCUUCUUACCAGCCUUCGUACAAAGCAUUAAAAUGAAAAUAUUUAAGCCGAAUUUGUCCAGGAGGUUUCACUGAGUAUGUAGAGUAUCCUGCUCACAGACUUGCUGUGUGGUGUUUAUUCCCUGGCACUUCUCUGGCAGGUUUCUCUGAACCUUAACAUCUAGAACCCAUGACCUGAAGUGCUGAGAGCUCUCCCCCUUCACCUGUAGGUAAACCGUUUGAUUUCUGCUCCCAUUGUCUUCCCAUAAAAGGGAGUUUGGGAGGGUGAUUUCCCAGGAAAUUUCUAGUGGUUUUAAGAUCAAAAACUAGUUUUGAUGCCGUAUCUCGUUUCUUCCAGCUGUUUUGAGUUCUGUUUUUGGAUUGCUGCUGCUGCUGCUAAGUCACUUCAGUCAUGUCCGACUCUGUGCAACCCCAUAGACGUCAGCCCACCAGGCUCCCCCAUCCUUGGGAUUCUCCAGAGUGAAGACGGUGUGCAGAGUGAAGGUACAGGCAGAAACGCUUCACAGUUCGUGUAUUCCAAGAACAGAGAUGCUCCGCCAGCUCACUCUUCAACCUUGUUCCCAGCAGGAGACCCAGGUUCGAUCCUUCGGUCGGGAAGAUAUCCUGGAGAAGGAAAUGGCAACCCAUUCCAGUAUUCUUGCUUGGAGAAUCUCAUGGACAGAGGUACCUGGCAGACUACAGACCACAGGAUUGCAAGAGUCGGACACGACUUAGUGAUUAAACCACCACCUUCACAAGUUGUGUAUAUUCUUAUUUAUUAUUGGCUUGACAUAUUUCAAGCAGUUCUAUGAUAUUGCUUUCAUCAACUUCAUGAAAUCCUGCACCUUUUGCAAUAUUUACAAUUUCUUUUCACUUUUACUGUCCUUGAAUUUAUUAUCUGCUAUAAUGUUGGUAGGAUGGAAACUAAUGUCUUGAAAGAAUGAGACUUUGGUUAGACAUUAAUUUUAUAAGUAGUCAGUUUAUUAAUGAAUAAUUUUUAUUUAAGAAGUUUUGCUUCUUUUAAACAACCCAGACAUUGGAUUCUCAUAUAAUGAGAUGCACUCCGGUACCACUCAAUUUAUAACUGAACAGGC
Bos taurus (domestic cattle) is the source of this 1075-nucleotide long non-coding RNA. The record is from Ensembl. NCBI's taxonomy places the organism in Eukaryota, Metazoa, Chordata, Mammalia, Artiodactyla, Bovidae.